This 66-nucleotide transfer RNA is filed under the name Setifer setosus (greater hedgehog tenrec). RNAcentral's name for it is "partial tRNA-Val". It matches the Rfam family "tRNA". From Rfam's summary of the family: Transfer RNA (tRNA) molecules are approximately 80 nucleotides in length. Their secondary structure includes four short double-helical elements and three loops (D, anti-codon, and T loops). The record is from RNAcentral. Lineage: Eukaryota; Metazoa; Chordata; Mammalia; Afrosoricida; Tenrecidae.
AAAAUGUAGCUUAAUUAAAGCAUCUGGCCUACACCCAGAAGAUUUCAGUAAAACCGACCAUUUUGA